RNAcentral lists this ribosomal RNA (457 nucleotides) under uncultured Gammaproteobacteria bacterium. RNAcentral's name for it is "bacterial SSU rRNA". It matches the Rfam family "Bacterial small subunit ribosomal RNA", at positions 76 to 527 of the family's 1533-position model. The record is from RNAcentral. Lineage: Bacteria; Pseudomonadati; Pseudomonadota; Gammaproteobacteria.
UCUUUCGGGAUGCUGACGAGUGGCGGACGGGUGAGUAAUGCGUAGGAAUCUACCUAGUGGUGGGGGACAACUUGGGGAAACUCAAGCUAAUACCGCAUAAGUCCUAUGGGAGAAAGGGGGCCUCUUCUUGAAAGCUCUCGCUAUUAGAUGAGCCUACGUCGGAUUAGCUUGUUGGUGGGGUAAUGGCCUACCAAGGCGACGAUCCGUAGCUGGUCUGAGAGGACGAUCAGCCACACUGGGACUGAGACACGGCCCAGACUCCUACGGGAGGCAGCAGUAGGGAAUAUUGGACAAUGGGCGAAAGCCUGAUCCAGCAAUGCCGCGUGUGUGAAGAAGGCCUGCGGGUUGUAAAGCACUUUCAGUUGGGAAGAAAAGCAUUAGGCUAAUAUCCUAAUAUUUUGACGUUACCAACAGAAGAAGCACCGGCUAACUCUGUGCCAGCAGCCGCGGUAAUACG